RNAcentral lists this transfer RNA (67 nucleotides) under Macrocheraia grandis grandis. RNAcentral describes it as "tRNA-Phe". The record is from RNAcentral. RNAcentral also lists the same sequence under 1 other name. Lineage: Eukaryota; Metazoa; Arthropoda; Insecta; Hemiptera; Largidae.
ACUUAAAUAGCUUAAUUUAAAGCUUAAUAUUGAAGAUAUUAUGAUGACUAUAAUUAGUCUUUGAGUA